AGAGUUUGAUCCUGGCUCAGGACGAACGCUGGCGGCGUGCUUAACACAUGCAAGUCGAACGGAGAGAGAUGGGAGCUCGCUCCUAUUGAUCUUAGUGGCGAACGGGUGAGUAACGCGUAACCAACCUGCCCUUCAGUGGGGGAUAACAACGGGAAACCGUUGCUAAUACCGCGUACGAUUUCCGAGUGGCAUCGCUUGGAAAUGAAAGGUGGCCUCUAUUUAUAAGCUAUCGCUGAAGGAGGGGGUUGCGUCUGAUUAGCUAGUUGGAGGGGUAACGGCCCACCAAGGCAAUGAUCAGUAGCCGGUCUGAGAGGAUGAACGGCCACAUUGGGACUGANACACNGCCCAAACUCCUACGGGAGGCAGCNNNGGGGGAANUCUUCCNCAAUGGGGCGAAAGCCUGACGAAC
Molecule: ribosomal RNA, 409 nt
Filed under: uncultured bacterium
Lineage: Bacteria
Description: bacterial SSU rRNA
Rfam family: Bacterial small subunit ribosomal RNA
Source: RNAcentral